CCUACGGGAGGCUGCAGUGGGGAAUAUUGGACAAUGGGGGGAACCCUGAUCCAGCCAUGCCGCGUGUGUGAAGAAGGCCCUCGGGUUGUAAAGCACUUUCAGUGAGGAAGAACGCCUGGUGGUUAAUACCCAUCAGGAAAGACAUCACUCACAGAAGAAGCACCGGCUAACUCCGUGCCAGCAGCCGCGGUAAUACGGAGGGUGCGAGCGUUAAUCGGAAUUACUGGGCGUAAAGCGCGCGUAGGUGGCUUGAUAAGCCGGUUGUGAAAGCCCCGGGCUCAACCUGGGAACGGCAUCCGGAACUGUCAAGCUAGAGUGCAGGAGAGGAAGGUAGAAUUCCCGGUGUAGCGGUGAAAUGCGUAGAGAUCGGGAGGAAUACCAGUGGCGAAGGCGGCCUUCUGGACUGACACUGACACUGAGGUGCGAAAGCGUGGGUAGCAAACAGGAUUUAGAUACCCUAGUAGUC
Molecule: ribosomal RNA, 466 nt
Filed under: Vreelandella stevensii
Lineage: Bacteria; Pseudomonadati; Pseudomonadota; Gammaproteobacteria; Oceanospirillales; Halomonadaceae
Description: partial 16S ribosomal RNA
Rfam family: Bacterial small subunit ribosomal RNA
Source: RNAcentral